CCUAUGAAUAAUUAAAUGGCCGCAGUAUCCUGACUGUGCAAAGGUAGCAUAAUCAUUUGUUUUUUUAUUGAAAACUAGAAUGAAAGAGUCGACGAAAAAUAGCCUUUUGAUUUAUAAAAUUAAAUUAACAUAAAGGUCAAAAGGCCUUUGAAAUUCAGAAAGACGACAAGACCCUAUAAAACUUUACUAUCAUUAAAACAAAAAAAUAGUUGAACUGGGGCGGUUAAUACAAAAACUGUAUAAUAAAAAAUAUAAAACAUAAAAUUUAAGAACUUAAUAUCUAAAAUUUUGAACAAGUUACUUUAGGGAUAACAGCAUAAUUUUCUCAAAGAGCCCUAAUCGACGAGAAAGCUUAUGACCUCGAUGUUGAAUUGAAAACCCUCGUGUAAGCAGUUAUUCACAGAGGUAGUCUGUUCGACUAUUAAAUUUUC
Molecule: ribosomal RNA, 431 nt
Filed under: Bragasellus comasi
Lineage: Eukaryota; Metazoa; Arthropoda; Malacostraca; Isopoda; Asellidae
Description: partial 16S ribosomal RNA
Rfam family: Bacterial large subunit ribosomal RNA
Source: RNAcentral